ACCAGGCUCUGCUGCCACCGAGUCCCUAGCCCCAACUCAACAAACCUGAAAGCCUUCACAGCAGUGAGCUGCAAUGUUGGAGGGCUUCAUCUCGGGCUGCAAGGACCCUGGGAAAGUUCCAGAACUCCACGUCCUUGUCUCAAUUGUGCCAUCAACUUUCAGAGCUAUCAUGAGCCAACCUCAGCCCACAGGGCCUCAGUCGCCACCAUGUGGGCCUCUCCAGUGCAAACCACCGAGCAUUCCACCAUGACUGGUCACAGCUACAAAUCCAGAGACUAUUAAUCCUGCUAGGGUGCAAGGUGGCAAGCACCCAAGGGUGGCUGACCAAGACUGCAGAGUUUCCUCCAUCUUCAGGUCCAUUCAGCCUCCUGGCAUUUAACUACCAGCAUCCAGUGGUCCCCAAGGAAUCCCUUCAUAGCCUCCUGACAUGAGUCUGCUGGAAAGAACACCCAAACAAACAAGUAAUAAAUAAAUAAAUCAACUCAA
Molecule: small RNA, 486 nt
Filed under: Pongo abelii (Sumatran orangutan)
Lineage: Eukaryota; Metazoa; Chordata; Mammalia; Primates; Hominidae
Description: processed transcript
Source: RNAcentral